RNAcentral lists this ribosomal RNA (497 nucleotides) under uncultured bacterium. RNAcentral describes it as "partial 16S ribosomal RNA". It matches the Rfam family "Bacterial small subunit ribosomal RNA", at positions 28 to 507 of the family's 1533-position model. The record is from RNAcentral.
GAUGAACGCUGGCGGCGUGCCUAAUACAUGCAAGUCGAGCGAACAGACGAGGAGCUUGCUCCUCUGACGUUAGCGGCGGACGGGUGAGUAACACGUGGAUAACCUACCUAUAAGACUGGGAUAACUUCGGGAAACCGGAGCUAAUACCGUAUAAUAUAUUGAACCGCAUGGUUCAAUAGUGAAAGACGGUUUUGGUGUCACUUAUCGAUGGAUCCGCGCCGCAUUAGCUAGUUGGUAAGGUAACGGCUUACCAAGGCGACGAUGCGUAGCCGACCUGAGAGGGGGAUCGGCCACACUGGAACUGAGACACGGUCCAGACUCCUACGGGAGGCAGCAGUAGGGAAUCUUCCGCAAUGGGCGAAAGCCUGACGGAGCAACGCCGCGUGAGUGAUGAAGGUCUUCGGAUCGUAAAACUCUGUUAUUAGGGAAGAACAAAUGUGUACGUAACUAUGCACGUCUUGACGGUACCUAAUAAGAAAGCCACGGCUAACUACGUG